AUGCGCACAGCAAUUUGGACAGCAAUUUGAUCUUGAAGAAUGUCCACGGGAAGAUGAUGACUAAGCAAUGCCUAAUCAGUGACUCUGUCCUGUGUUCUCAUGUCAUGGCAACAGACAGUCAACCUGGCAUGAAAGGUUCUCAUGCCAGCUCAGAAAGACAGAGCAUACAGACUCUUAGAGGGACACGAAAGCUGGAUCAUUCGUCAACUUACUCAUGGGCAUAAGCACACCGAUAAACUGAAACGCACAGGAGUAGAGACACUGUGGAAGACUAGCUGAGAUCUCUUCUGGACAGGAAUAAUUUGCAAAUGGAGUUCCACACCUGGAACCUUCCUAGACUACUGAAAUGAGCUUGGAUGGAGCUGUUCUUCAAAAAAGGAUCUGAAGCUGAAAAUAGUUCCCAAAUANAUUACGCAGAUUUCUGCCUGAGAUGGCUUGCUAGGAACAUAUUUCAACCAUUUCAAGAGAGCUACAUCAGGUACUGGUUCAUUUUCAAGUCG
This 500-nucleotide long non-coding RNA is filed under the name Salvator merianae (Argentine black and white tegu). RNAcentral describes it as "lncRNA (ENSSMRG00000000932.1)". The record is from RNAcentral. Lineage: Eukaryota; Metazoa; Chordata; Lepidosauria; Squamata; Teiidae.